RNAcentral lists this non-coding RNA (787 nucleotides) under Aloconota currax. Lineage: Eukaryota; Metazoa; Arthropoda; Insecta; Coleoptera; Staphylinidae. The record is from RNAcentral.
UAAAAGUUUUAUUUUAGCUUAAAUAAUAAGUUUAUAAUUUUUUUACAUGUGAAUUUUUGUGUAAUGUGUUAUAAUUUUAAAAAAGUUUUAAUUAUAAAAAUUUAGUUCGCAGUAUUUAAUUUUAAAUAUUAAGGAAACUUAGAUUUAGAAAUUUAUAAUAAUAUUAACAUAAUUUGUGCCAGCAGUUGCGGUUAUACAAAUAAUAUAAUUUAUUAUUAUUAAUUUAUAAUUAAUUUUUAUUUUAAUUUAAUAAUAAUUUUAAUUUAUUAGGUGAAAUUUUAAAUUAAAAUUUUUUUAUAUUUUAAUAUAUGAUAUUAUUAAAUUUUAUAAUAAACUAGGAUUAGAUACCCUAUUAUAAAAAUGUAAAUAAUAAAAAUUAAAUUAUUAGUAGUUAUGGUCUUGAAAGUUAAAAAUUUUGGCGGUAUUUUAAUCUAUUCAGAGGAACCUGUUCUUUAAUUGAUAUUCCACGAGUAAAUUAACUUAUUUUAGUAGUUUGUAUAUCGUUGUAGUUGAAUAUUUUAUUAGAAAUUUAAUGUUCUAAAUUUUUUACUAAAAAAAUAAAUCAAAUCAAGGUGCAGUUUAUAGAUAAGAAGAGAUGGGUUACAAUAAAUAAUAUAUGUAUGAAUUAAUUUUUUAAUAAAAUUAUGCAAUUGGAUUUGAAUGUAAUUAAAUUUUUAUUAAUUUUAUGAUUUAAGUUCUAAAAUAUGUACAUAUCGCCCGUCGCUCUCAUUUAAAUUGAGAUAAGUCGUAACAUAGUAAAUGUACUGGAAAGUGUAUUUAGUUUGCA